CCGGGCGCGCCCAGGCUGUAGCUGCUGUAGCCGCGGUGCGGCGCGAACUGGCAGACGGCGCGGCCGCGGGACGUGCAGUCGAAGAGGUUUGACUUUACGACUCUUCACGCGAUGCCACACCACGCCAGCAAGCAAGUUCGCUGCAUCACCUAUCUCCCUGGAGAACAUCUGUCCAAACUUCCUUGGACACUUGCUUUAAGAAAGCAGACAAGACUCCAGAAAAACCUGCAGCUGAGACUCUGGAGAAGACUCCAGCCAAGAGCCCUUCAAAAAGUCCAGUAAAGUCACUUCAAAUAAGUCCUCCAAAUCAAUAAGAUUGCUAUUUACAAUAUAAAUACACUGAUGUAGCGAUAUUACUCAUCUGUAAUUGAUUGAGUACAAAAUUCUGGGUUAUUUUUGGUUAAUAUAGGGUAUUGGGCCUUGGUUCAGGAACCAACCCCCCAUUUAUAACAUUGUUCCUAUGGGAAAAUCAGUUCCAAGUUACGGUGUUUCGACUUAAGAUGUGGUUUUCAGGAACGAAUUGUGUCGUAAGUCUGAGGACUGCCUGUAUUUAACCCCAGCAGUCUUUCCUGCCCAGAGCAGGAGGGCUGGAUUUGAUAAUCGCACGAUGUCUCUUUCCUCAUCCAAGUGACCUAAAGUUGUGAAAAGGCUUUCUCAGUUCUUUUCACUGGGUAUGGGAUUCUGCUUUCCUACCCAUCCUAAAUUUCAUGUUGGUGUGGGUGCACGCUCUUAAAUUUGCCCCAUGUAAUCUCAGAUGUGGGUGGAGCAAAAUAGCAGGUAAAGUGCACAUAGUGUGAAGUGCAUAUAACAUGCAGGUAAAGUGCAUAUAAUGUGAUCCAAAAUUAUUUCGUAUACAAAACUCUCAUUGUCUUCAAUAGGAAUUGGAUGCCCAUGAAGGGAAUGAAACAUUUUAGUAUUCAUUGGAACAUAUUGGAUGCUGAGGAAAAAGUGAACUAUCUGAUCAAGAAUAAUAUUCCCCACAUAUCAGGUCUCUUCAUAGAUUUCAUAGAAAUUUAGAUUGCACUGCAUUUAGCACAUCCAAAAUUGGCUACAUCAAUAGUUCUUUAUAACAUUCAGUAAAUAUGAUUUUUAAAAGUUCUAUUGACAUAUUAAAACGUCACUCCACAAGCCAAUCAUAA
Alligator mississippiensis (American alligator) is the source of this 1139-nucleotide long non-coding RNA. RefSeq lists it as uncharacterized. NCBI's taxonomy places the organism in Eukaryota, Metazoa, Chordata, Crocodylia, Alligatoridae. The transcript is spliced from 2 exons. The record is from RefSeq and is a predicted model, not a curated record.